This 378-nucleotide ribosomal RNA is filed under the name uncultured eukaryote. RNAcentral's name for it is "partial 18S ribosomal RNA". It matches the Rfam family "Eukaryotic small subunit ribosomal RNA", at positions 592 to 975 of the family's 1831-position model. The record is from RNAcentral.
CAAUAGCGUAUAUUUAAGUUGUUGCAGUUAAAAAGCUCGUAGUUGGAUUUCGGGUAGGAUUUGCCGGUCCGUCUUUGAGAUGUGUACUGGUAAGUCCUAUCUUCUUGUCGGGGACCAGCUCCUGGGCUUCACUGUCCGGGACUGGGAGCCGACGAAGUUACUUUGAGUAAAUUAGAGUGUUCAAAGCAAGCUUACGCUCUGAAUAUAAUAGCAUGGGAUAACACGACAGGACUCUGGCCUAUCGUGUUGGUCUAUAGGACCAGAGUAAUGAUUAAGAGGGACAGUCGGGGGCAUUCGUAUUCCGUUGUCAGAGGUGAAAUUCUUGGAUUUACGGAAGACGAACAUCUGCGAAAGCAUUUGCCAAGGAUGUUUNCAUUG